AUAUAUGUAUGUAUGUAUGUAUGCAUGCAUGCAUGCAUGUAUGUGUGUGUGUAUGUGUGUAUGUAUG
Molecule: microRNA precursor, 67 nt
Filed under: Pteropus vampyrus (large flying fox)
Lineage: Eukaryota; Metazoa; Chordata; Mammalia; Chiroptera; Pteropodidae
Description: miRNA (ENSPVAG00000026026.1)
Source: RNAcentral